RNAcentral lists this ribosomal RNA (480 nucleotides) under Flavobacteriaceae bacterium JJ-1851. RNAcentral's name for it is "bacterial SSU rRNA". It matches the Rfam family "Bacterial small subunit ribosomal RNA", at positions 20 to 500 of the family's 1533-position model. The record is from RNAcentral. Lineage: Bacteria; Pseudomonadati; Bacteroidota; Flavobacteriia; Flavobacteriales; Flavobacteriaceae.
UGGCUCAGGAUGAACGCUAGCGGCAGGCUUAACACAUGCAAGUCGAGGGGUAUAAGUCUUCGGAUUUAGAGACCGGCGCACGGGUGCGUAACGCGUAUGCAAUCUACCUUUUACAGAGGGAUAGCCCAGAGAAAUUUGGAUUAAUACCUCAUAGUAUUAUAGAAUGGCAUCAUUUUAUAAUUAAAGUCACAACGGUAAAAGAUGAGCAUGCGUCCCAUUAGCUAGUUGGUAAGGUAACGGCUUACCAAGGCUACGAUGGGUAGGGGUCCUGAGAGGGAGAUCCCCCACACUGGUACUGAGACACGGACCAGACUCCUACGGGAGGCAGCAGUGAGGAAUAUUGGACAAUGGGCGCAAGCCUGAUCCAGCCAUGCCGCGUGCAGGAUGACGGUCCUAUGGAUUGUAAACUGCUUUUAUACGAGAAGAAACACUCUUCGUGAAGGAAUUUGACGGUAUCGUAAGAAAUAAGGAUCGUGCUAA